AGGCAGAGGCUUCAACCCACUGAGCCACCCAGGCGCCCUGAGCGCUCUCAAUGAGUUGGGUCGCUCCCUUGUCUCCUGCGUGUUUUCCGCUUCAGAAUCACCUGUGGGUCAGGGCUCCGCCCAGUUUGGGCCCUGCUGGAAAAUCGGGCUGCACGGUACCAGCCACAUAACACACAGGUUCCGAAAUAUUUGGUGGGUGAACAGCAGGUGGACUGGCCCGCAGCAGGUUGCUGGGAGGGGCAGAGAAUAGGCGAUUGUGACAUCAUGAUGACUCAUCUCCCAUCCUCAGUGCAUUUAUGGAUUAAUGUUAGUUCUUGCCCUUAUGGCCAGGGACUCUCAGGAGGGGCAGGAAAUGCUAGAGGGGAUUCAGAGCUGUUGGUGGCUGGGGGCUCCGUGUUGGCCCAUGAUGACCUAAGAAAGCCCUGAGCAGAGGCAUCCGGAUUCCCCGGCUCAGUGCAACGGGAUGGACAUGAAGAAGGUCCUCCGUUGCGUCUGGCACACUCAGGAAGGAAAGGCAGCCUCCCCAGGUUCCUGAGGUUCCGUCGUUCCAGAACCACCACGUGAGGACUAGAAGGAGCCCCCGGGAGACGGUGGCUCCAUCUGUGUCUCAGAACAGGUUUAUUUCGGCCAAGCGCACAUCUGUUGAGAAGGACAUGCGCAUCUGGGAAAAUAGGGCAUUGGCUCUCUUUUCUGACGCAGACUCACCAGCGCGACUUCCAGCUGCUUCGUCCGUUCACCCCAACGCGCCCAGGGAACGACACGAUG
Lutra lutra (Eurasian river otter) is the source of this 765-nucleotide long non-coding RNA. RefSeq lists it as uncharacterized. NCBI's taxonomy places the organism in Eukaryota, Metazoa, Chordata, Mammalia, Carnivora, Mustelidae. The record is from RefSeq and is a predicted model, not a curated record. The transcript is spliced from 3 exons.